AUUGAACGCUGGCGGAAUGCUUUACACAUGCAAGUCGAACGGUAGAGGGGGCAACCCCUUGAGAGUGGCGAACGGGUGAGUAAUAUAUCGGAACGUGCCCAGUCGUGGGGAUAACGUAGCGAAAGUUACGCUAAUACCGCAUACGAUCUAAGGAUGAAAGCGGGGGAUCGCAAGACCUCGCGCGAUUGGAGCGGCCGAUAUCAGAUUAGGUAGUUGGUGAGGUAAAGGCUCACCAAGCCAACGAUCUGUAGCUGGUCUGAGAGGACGACCAGCCACACUGGAACUGAGACACGGUCCAGACUCCUACGGGAGGCAGCAGUGGGGAAUUUUGGACAAUGGACGCAAGUCUGAUCCAGCCAUGCCGCGUGUGUGAAGAAGGCCUUCGGUUGUUAAGACACUUUCUAGCGAGGAGGAGAGUGUGUG
Molecule: ribosomal RNA, 423 nt
Filed under: uncultured bacterium
Lineage: Bacteria
Description: bacterial SSU rRNA
Rfam family: Bacterial small subunit ribosomal RNA
Source: RNAcentral